UACGUAGGGGGCUAGCGUUGUCCGGAAUCAUUGGGCGUAAAGGGCGCGUAGGCGGCCUGUUAAGUCGAACGUGAAAUCCCCGGGCUCAACCCGGGAACUGCGUCCGAAACUGGCAGGCUCGAAUUCGGGAGAGGGAUGCGGAAUUCCAGGUGUAGCGGUGAAAUGCGUAGAUAUCUGGAGGAACAUCGGUGGCGAAGGCGGCAUCCUGGACCGAUAUUGACGCUGAGGCGCGAAAGCCAGGGGAGCAAACGGG
RNAcentral lists this ribosomal RNA (253 nucleotides) under uncultured bacterium. RNAcentral describes it as "partial 16S ribosomal RNA". It matches the Rfam family "Bacterial small subunit ribosomal RNA", at positions 524 to 776 of the family's 1533-position model. The record is from RNAcentral.